RNAcentral lists this ribosomal RNA (378 nucleotides) under uncultured eukaryote. Its description in RNAcentral is "partial 18S ribosomal RNA". It matches the Rfam family "Eukaryotic small subunit ribosomal RNA", at positions 592 to 976 of the family's 1831-position model. The record is from RNAcentral.
CAAUAGCGUAUAUUUAAGUUGUUGCAGUUAAAAAGCUCGUAGUUGGAUUUCGGGUGUGAAUGACCGGUCCGUCUUUGAUGUGUACUGGUUGGUUGCGCCUUAUUGUCGAGGACGUGGUUCUGGCUUUCAUUAGCUGGGACACGGAGUCGGCAGCGUUACUUUGAGAAAAUUAGAGUGUUCAAAGCAGGCUAUCGCUCUGAAUACUACAGCAUGGAAUAACACGAUAGGACUCCGAGCCUAUUCUGUUGGUCUUCGGGACCGGAGUAAUGAUUAAGAGGGACAGUUGGGGGCAUUCGUAUUCCGAUGUCAGAGGUGAAAUUCUUGGAUUAUCGGAAGACGAACAUCUGCGAAAGCAUUUGCCAAGGAUGUUUUCAUUAA